This 719-nucleotide long non-coding RNA is filed under the name Homo sapiens (human). Its description in RNAcentral is "HSALNT0043332". The record is from RNAcentral. Lineage: Eukaryota; Metazoa; Chordata; Mammalia; Primates; Hominidae.
AUUCAAAACAAGUUAAAUGAGCAUGACCGAAUAGCCAGCCAUUUCUAAAUUGUUCAUUUCACAUAGUGUAGCCUUUACAGUGGUGGCAACUAUGAUAACAGAUCCUAUGACUUAGAUAAGAUCAACAAAUUACCAAGUGCUAAUUGUUUCUGCUGGGUGUAGGUGAGGAGAUAAAUAGCUUGUAAAUUAAACAGCAGUGCCUAAGGGUGCCAUUCCUGUACUCACACGGGCUGCUCCGUGCUCUCCAGCAAAUAAUUUCCUCUUAUCUCAUAAUUAAACAUUUUUACCUUUAAAAACCACAAUCAUUAGUGAAUAUGUUAUCCUCCUAGUGCCAAAUUUAAAAGAGGAGAAAGGAGAUAAGAAGCAGUAAUCUAAUAAACUGAAUGACAAUGUCAUUUCAUCCUUUUGCAAAUCAUCGAAAUAUAGGCUUUCUGUCUUGGGUGGUUAUUGGGCCAUCUAUGCAGCUUUUCCAUAAGCAGCUCCUGCGCCAGUGCUGAAGUGUGGCAGUCGUCAAAUCCAGAGCCUGUGUGGCCUGGAGCCUGUCAGUAAGUGCUCAUGUGCCGCAGCUGUUCUCUGUUGUUUAGGAUCUUGCCUCAGAUUCGCUUAUAAAUGGCAUUUAUAACAUCAAACUUAUUCAGUGCCCGUUAAGAUGUUUUAGCUUUAUCAUGAAUGUCAACCGCUCCUUUUCCAGCUUCCCAUCUCAAGGGAAGACCAUGAGA